RNAcentral lists this unclassified non-coding RNA (350 nucleotides) under soil metagenome. RNAcentral's name for it is "partial contains 5.8S ribosomal RNA, internal transcribed spacer 2, and large subunit ribosomal RNA". The stretch from base 1 to 120 matches the Rfam family "5.8S ribosomal RNA", at positions 35 to 154 of the family's 154-position model. The record is from RNAcentral.
GAUGAAGAACGCAGCGAACUGCGAUAAGUAAUGUGAAUUGCAGAAUUCAGUGAAUCAUCGAGUCUUUGAACGCACAUUGCGCCCCCUGGCAUUCCGGGGGGCAUGCCUGUCCGAGCGUCAUUGCUGCCCUUCAAGCCCGGCUUGUGUGUUGGGUCGUCGUCCCCCCCGGGGGACGGGCUCGAAAGGCAGCGGCGGCACCGCGUCCGGUCCUCGAGCGUAUGGGGCUUUGUCACCCGCUCGAUUAGGGCCGGCCGGGCGCCAGCCGGCGUCUCCAACCUUCUAUUUUACCAGGUUGACCUCGGAUCAGGUAGGGAUACCCGCUGAACUUAAGCAUAUCAAUAAGCGGAGGA